RNAcentral lists this ribosomal RNA (774 nucleotides) under Euparagia richardsi. RNAcentral describes it as "eukaryotic LSU rRNA". It matches the Rfam family "Eukaryotic large subunit ribosomal RNA", at positions 402 to 938 of the family's 3401-position model. Lineage: Eukaryota; Metazoa; Arthropoda; Insecta; Hymenoptera; Vespidae. The record is from RNAcentral.
AAACCGUUCAGGGGUAAACCUGAGGAACCCGAAAGAUCGAAUGGGGAGAUUCAGCGUCAGCGGCGUUGGCUCAGCGGUGAUCGGCGAUGCCUCGGACUACGGUUCGGGGCACGCCGUCGCUCGUCGUGUCCGGCGUCGUCGUCGUGCACUUCUCCCCUAGUAGAACGUCGCGACCCGUUGGGUGUCGGUCUACGGUCCGGGUGGUAGACUGCCGCGUCGCUUCGGCGUACGUGGCAGACCCCCGGUUUCCCGGCCGGCUGCUCGGCGGUAUCUGAGACGGUAUCCGGCCGCACAUUCGAAUUGCGUCAGGCCCGCCGCAAGCGCGGCCAGUGUCACUGGAGGUACGGACCUGGCGCCGUCCCCGUGCCUGGUCAGCUGUUGGCCGGCGGUGUCCUCCGACGGGCAAUAGUGGGUACCGGUCCGCGACGCUACUGCUUUGGGUACUCUCAGGACCCGUCUUGAAACACGGACCAAGGAGUCUAACAUGUGCGCGAGUCAUUGGGAAUGAAAAACCUAAAGGCGCAAUGAAAGUGAAGGUCGACCAAGCGUCGAUCGAGGGAGGAUGGGCCGCGUUACGACGCGGCUCCGCACUCCCGGGGCGUCUCGUUCUCAUUGCGAGAAGAGGCGCACCCAGAGCGUACACGUUGGGACCCGAAAGAUGGUGAACUAUGCCUGGUCAGGACGAAGUCAGGGGAAACCCUGAUGGAGGUCCGUAGCGAUUCUGACGUGCAAAUCGAUCGUCGGAACUGGGUAUAGGGGCGAAAGACUAAUCGA